GGCGAACGGGUGAGUAACACGUGAGGAACCUGCCCCGGACUUUGGGAUAACCCUCGGAAACGGGGGCUAAUACCGAAUACGACACUUCACCGCAUGGUGUGGGUGUGGAAAGUUUUUCGGUCUGGGAUGGUCUCGCGGCCUAUCAGCUUGUUGGUGGGGUAAUGGCCUACCAAGGCGACGACGGGUAGCCGGCCUGAGAGGGCGACCGGCCACACUGGGACUGAGACACGGCCCAGACUCCUACGGGAGGCAGCAGUGGGGAAUAUUGCACAAUGGGCGGAAGCCUGAUGCAGCGACGCCGCGUGAGGGAUGACGGCCUUCGGGUUGUAAACCUCUUUCAGCAGGGACGAAGCCUUUAUCGGUGACGGUACCUGCAGAAGAAGCACCGGCCAACUACGUGCCAGCCGCCGCGG
This 413-nucleotide ribosomal RNA is filed under the name uncultured bacterium. Its description in RNAcentral is "bacterial SSU rRNA". It matches the Rfam family "Bacterial small subunit ribosomal RNA", at positions 97 to 520 of the family's 1533-position model. The record is from RNAcentral.